This 225-nucleotide long non-coding RNA is filed under the name Elaeis guineensis (African oil palm). Its description in RNAcentral is "long non-coding RNA (EGUI_LNC031144)". The record is from RNAcentral. Lineage: Eukaryota; Viridiplantae; Streptophyta; Magnoliopsida; Arecales; Arecaceae.
UACAUGCAUUUAUAAAUAUUAAAAAUCAUCUUAACUAUGAUCAUUAUUGCCGUAAAAAUAAGUUCCAAAAAUUAUUGCAGUAAACUUCUUUUAGUUCCAAAAAUAACUACAAAGCAUCAUUCAACCAGCACAGAAUGCAGUACUCUACCAGAUCUCCUUAAAGAUGUUUCUACAACAGAUUUCAAAUUUGAUCUUGUCAUGCCCCCGACCCGAGAUCACGAGUCC